This 830-nucleotide long non-coding RNA is filed under the name Homo sapiens (human). RNAcentral describes it as "HSALNT0101467". The record is from RNAcentral. Lineage: Eukaryota; Metazoa; Chordata; Mammalia; Primates; Hominidae.
GUAAAUCUCUCUAAAGAUAUGUUGGAAUGUCUCACAAAUAAGCCAGGUUGUUACAAGGUACACAAUAAAGAGGGAUCUGCUUCUAGUUUCAACUUUUCUUAUUCAUCCUGGAUAAGGUGCUUAGGAACCACUGUAACCCACUGUAACUCCUCUAAAAAGCUGGCACAGGAAACAAGACGGCUUGGCCAGUGCAGUAGCUCACGCUUGUAAUCCCAGCAUUUUGAGAGCCCAAGGCAGGAGGAUCAUUUUAGCUCAGGAGUUUGAGACCAGCUUAGGCAACAAAGCGAGAGUCCCAUCUCUACAGAAAAAUAAAAUAAAAUAAAUAGCCAGACAUGGUGGUGCACGUCUACAGUCCCAGCUACUUGGGAGGCUGAGGCGGGAGGAUUGCUUGAGCCCAGGAGGCCGAGGCUACAGUGAGCUAUGAUUGCACCACUGCGCUCCAGCGUGGGCAACAGAGUGAGAUCUUGUCAAACAAAACAAAACCGCAAAACAAACAAAAGACCCCCCGCCCCCUAAAACCCAAAAAAGACCAUUAGGCACCUGAACUCAAAAUGUUUAAAAUGUUUUUCCUCACCUGCCCACCUCUACCCUCCACAGUGAGCCAUCAACCUAAUAACAAGAGAGAGCAACAAGGCCUGGGGUCCCUUUGCUGGAGCACAGUCCCAAGGUGCAUCCGUCUGUGACCCAGGGAAACACCUCGAAGAGAAAAGUAGCUAUCUUCAAGCGACUAAAACUGAAGUAUAAUAAGAGAACCAUGUGAUUCAAGCAAGUCCACAACAGAGCCAACAGAGUCUGCUUUCAAAGGAAUCUGCAAAUUGAAGGAUACAAAC